This 259-nucleotide ribosomal RNA is filed under the name uncultured Staphylococcus sp. Its description in RNAcentral is "partial 16S ribosomal RNA". It matches the Rfam family "Bacterial small subunit ribosomal RNA", at positions 103 to 355 of the family's 1533-position model. The record is from RNAcentral. Lineage: Bacteria; Bacillati; Bacillota; Bacilli; Caryophanales; Staphylococcaceae.
CGGGUGAGUAACACGUGGAUAACCUACCUAUAAGACUGGGAUAACUUCGGGAAACCGGAGCUAAUACCGGAUAAUAUAUUGAACCGCAUGGUUCAAUAGUGAAAGACGGUUUUGCUGUCACUUAUAGAUGGAUCCGCGCCGCAUUAGCUAGUUGGUAAGGUAACGGCUUACCAAGGCAACGAUGCGUAGCCGACCUGAGAGGGUGAUCGGCCACACUGGAACUGAGACACGGUCCAGACUCCUACGGGAGGCAGCAGUC